CUUUAGUAAGUAUUUUUUGUACAUUUGCCUUCCAAGCAAAAAGACUAAGUAAAAUUAGACUAAAGA
This 66-nucleotide transfer RNA is filed under the name Aldisa cooperi. Its description in RNAcentral is "tRNA-Gly". Lineage: Eukaryota; Metazoa; Mollusca; Gastropoda; Nudibranchia; Dorididae. The record is from RNAcentral.